AAAAUAAAAACAUAUGAAACCUAUAUAAACUAUGGACCAUUUUAAAUUGACUACCCAACAUUUCAAAAUUUUAAUUUUACUACUCAACCUUUUAAUUUUGUAAAAUGUGCAUGCCGUUUCUUGCAACUACAAAUUCAUUAAGGGAAUUAACUUAAAUUUUGACACAAAUCAAACAAAUUAAAAAGUUAAAUAGUGAAAUAAAAAAAAAACCGGAAGGUUCUAUAAGUUUCCGAUAAGUUUUGCAAGUUUUUUUAGCAGUAAAAUAAAAAAUAUAUAUAUAUAGAACUAAACUGCUUGGCACCAAUUUAGAUUUUCGACCCUUAGACAAAGGAAUGUGCCGUUAGGAUGAUAGUGAUUCCUUGGGGUUGAGCGGGUGGUCGUUGGUUGAAUAGUAUAAUCUAACGGAUAGAAAUGAUCAGCGGGUAGAUUUAGGGGUGUAAACGAGCCGAACAUGAGCGAGCUAGGGCCGGCUCGUGUUUGGCUCGUUUAAUAAACGAGCCGAACAUGAGCUAGCUCGUUAAAGUAUCGAGCCGAAAAAUUCGGCUCGUGUUCGGCUCGCUUAUUAACGAGCCGAACACGAGCUGGCUAACGAACAAUAAAUUAAAAAAAUUAGAUUGAAUAUAUAUAAAAAAUAAAUUUAUAAAAUCUCAUCCAUUAGAUUUUGAUCUAAUAGUUGAAACUUUACAUAUAAAUGAGUAUUUUUAUAAUUGAGUUCACCUUUAUAUUUUAUUUUGUUAAAAAUUAAAUAAUAAAAAUAUAUAUUAUAUAUAUAGUUAUUUAUUUAUAUAUAUAAAUAUAAAUUAUAUAAAUUAUAUAAAUAUAAAAUAUAUGUAUUCGAGCUGUUAUCGAGUCGAACACGAGCGAGUUGACCCUAGCUCGUGUUCGGCUCGUUUAUUAAACGAGUCGAAAAAUCAGCUCGUGUUCAGCUCGUUUACUAAACAAGCGAUUUGAUCUUGAGCUCAUCUCGAGCCGAACACGAGCUGGCUCGCGAACAGCGAGCUAAAUUGCCACCCCUAGGUAGAUCUAACGGUAAAAAAUCAAAUAGCAUCAAAUACUUAAUCGCUAUUGAUAGUAUUGUAGCCAUUGAUAGUAUAGUAGGCGGACUGUAUAUAUAUACUUAGCACUAAACAAUGCUUUGUAGUUUCCUCCCCCUUAAAAUAAAAAUAAGAAAGAAGAAUCUAUCCAAUAUCAUUAAAGGGUGAACCCCUAACCCCUUUGCUGCGUUCUCCGUGAUUUCGGGUCUCUCCCUUAACCCCUUUUCUGCGUUCUCCGCGAUUUCGGACCUCCCGCACACAGUGCUCUCUCUGAGAUGUGGGGCCCUACUCUCUCUUACCCUCUCUCAUUUUCUCUCUCUGAGAUGUGGGGCCCUAUUAUUCUUCGCACGCUAUGGUAUCCUACGAUGCCACUCUCCCUUACCCUCUCUCCUUCUCAAUGAACCCUAACCCUCUCUCCCUUUCUUUUCUCGCCGCCUCUGCAGAUUUCCCGGGAUUCCUCUGCCCCUCUCAACAAAUCCUA
RNAcentral lists this long non-coding RNA (1515 nucleotides) under Ananas comosus (pineapple). Its description in RNAcentral is "long non-coding RNA (ACOM_LNC020165)". Lineage: Eukaryota; Viridiplantae; Streptophyta; Magnoliopsida; Poales; Bromeliaceae. The record is from RNAcentral.